RNAcentral lists this long non-coding RNA (1117 nucleotides) under Carica papaya (papaya). RNAcentral's name for it is "long non-coding RNA (CPAP_LNC014107)". The record is from RNAcentral. Lineage: Eukaryota; Viridiplantae; Streptophyta; Magnoliopsida; Brassicales; Caricaceae.
UUAUCUUGGGCCGCUCGGUUUAGUGGGGGCCUUCCUCUCCUCAUUUCUGUGUACCUGCAUUUACAAGGAAUGGUUGAGUAACGACCAAUCGGUGAGUAUUUCUUUAAAGGACUAUAGUGUAAGGGAUGGGUCCGAGGAAAUGCGGCUCUGAUACCAACUGUAACGGCCCCGGAAAAUAUUAAAAUGAAAUGAGUAUUUAAAUAUAUCGAAUGCGGAAGCGAGAUCAAAAUUUCAUUUAACAUCCCUUACACGAAAAACCAAAAACGUACUUAAAAUAUAAAAGAUUAAACUAACUAAGAAAGAAACUCGAAAAUAAAACUAUGCGUAUGACUACAGAGUCUCUAGGCAUCCCCUUCGUCGUCCUCCUGCGGAACGGGCUCGGGAACCAUGUCUUCCUGAUCUGAAAUGGUUAAUUAAGGAGUGAGCUACACUAGCCCAGUAAGAACAUCACGAUAUCUCACCGUCACGGAGAUAAAGGUGGGUAAAAAAAACCACAAAAAGACCAAUGGAGCAUAAUUUACAAUAAACUCGUUUAUUAACAACAAAACCUUUUAUCAAUAAUAAAACUUUGACCAUCCACUUACCUUGGUGGAAUUUAUGAAAACAAUAUGAGAAAAACAAUAACAUUAUCAUAAUCAUUGAAUAAUUUAAGCUGUAAAACAUAACACUUAUCACGCCUCUUGUAAUUCAAUCAUUGUACAACAUAUCUUUUUCUCAUUUACCAGCCUACUAGUAUCCGUGGGGGUCCAUAGGGGUUCCGCUACCCGUUAACCUUUAACAUUCAUAAUCAGUUUCCAGGACCGUCCCCAUACCCCGUCCGGUAUGGGCGCCAAAACCAUAAACCUCAAUACCCCGUCCGGUAUGAGGGUGAAACGGGCCGUCCCCAUACCCCGUCCGGUAUGGGCGCCAAAACCAUAAACCUCAAUACCCCGUCCGGUAUAAGGGUGAAACGGGCCGUCCCCAUACCCCGUCCGGUAUGGGCGCCAAAACCAUAAGAUCUCCAUACCCUGUCCGGCAUGUGAGACCACAAUCCCAGUAGGGUUCCCUACGGACCCGGUCCGUCCACCAUCUCCCAAGAUAUCUAGUCAGGCUGACCCCCAUAAUACAAUUAUCAGUC